UUUUUUUUAUAUAAUUAAAAAAAACAUCAACAACACUAUAUUUGUCCCCUUCCUCCCUCCAAGAAAAGUGUAUAAAUUGUGUGAGUGACCAUUAGCAAGCGUCUUAAGGGAGUUACCAUUUGAUUUUUAUGGGGGGGCUAGGAUGAAAUUUGAAAAAAAUAGGCAGGACAGGAGUUUUGAGAAAAAAAAAAGGCAGGAUGAGACAAUUGCCAAAAAAAAAAAGUCAGGACGACAAUUUAGGUAAAAAAAAGUCAGGAUAAACUAAAAAAAAAAAAGCAGGACCAAACAGAGUGAAAAAUAAAAAGGCAGGACAGAGAUUACAGCUAAAAAAAUGCAGGACAAAAUUUUUCAUCCUAGCCCCACCAUAAAAAUCAAAUGGUAGCUCCCUAAGU
Molecule: long non-coding RNA, 392 nt
Filed under: Mytilus galloprovincialis (Mediterranean mussel)
Lineage: Eukaryota; Metazoa; Mollusca; Bivalvia; Mytilida; Mytilidae
Source: RNAcentral